This 388-nucleotide ribosomal RNA is filed under the name uncultured bacterium. RNAcentral's name for it is "bacterial SSU rRNA". It matches the Rfam family "Bacterial small subunit ribosomal RNA", at positions 30 to 408 of the family's 1533-position model. The record is from RNAcentral.
AUUGAACGCUGGCGGCAGGCCUAACACAUGCAAGUCGAGCGGCAGCGACAACAUUGACUCUUCGGAGGAUUUGUUGGGCGGCGAGCGGCGGACGGGUGAGUAAUGGCUGGGAACCUGCCCUGACGUGGGGGAUAACAGUUGGAAACGACUGCUAAUACCGCAUGAUGUCUUCGGACCAAAGAGGAGGACCUUCGGGCUUCUCGCGUCGGGAUGGGCCCAGUUGGGAUUAGCUAGUUGGUGAGGUAAUGGCUCACCAAGGCGACGAUCCCUAGCUGGUUUGAGAGGAUGAUCAGCCACACUGGAACUGAGACACGGUCCAGACUCCUACGGGAGCAGCAGUGAGGAAUAUUGACAAUGGGCGAAGCCUGAUCAGCAUCCGCGUGGUGAG